GAGCUUCAAGUUGAUAUACUCACCUUGGACCUUGAUCAUUUUUUAUACACCCCUGAAUCAAUUAUUUGUGUUUUUAUGGCGAGUAUUUAGCACAUAAAAUAUGGAGGAUAUGAAGAUAAAGAGACAGGAGUUUUUGGGAAGGAGAGAAAAAGUUAGAAAUGGGAGAUGCAUGUGCCCCACGAGUGAUGGUUUGUGUUAUAAAUAAGUUACACUAGAAUAGGAAUUUCAAAAGAACAUCGAAGCAAAGCCAAAGAAGUUCUUAUCCCACUUGUCUACUUCAUUGUCCUUAACCAACAAUAUCUUCAAACUGGCCAUAGAUGGAGUCUUUUUCAUCCAAUUACUAGGUAGAUGGAGACUUUUCCAUCCAAUUACUAGCCCAUUGCCCCACAUAAGCAUGUAAAUAUGUGGUGCAAACUAGACCACGACCCAUGA
Molecule: long non-coding RNA, 432 nt
Filed under: Elaeis guineensis (African oil palm)
Lineage: Eukaryota; Viridiplantae; Streptophyta; Magnoliopsida; Arecales; Arecaceae
Description: long non-coding RNA (EGUI_LNC076197)
Source: RNAcentral